RNAcentral lists this transfer RNA (83 nucleotides) under archaeon. Its description in RNAcentral is "tRNA-Ser". It matches the Rfam family "tRNA". From Rfam's summary of the family: Transfer RNA (tRNA) molecules are approximately 80 nucleotides in length. Their secondary structure includes four short double-helical elements and three loops (D, anti-codon, and T loops). Further hydrogen bonds mediate the characteristic L-shaped molecular structure. tRNAs have two regions of fundamental functional importance: the anti-codon, which is responsible for specific mRNA codon recognition, and the 3' end, to which the tRNAs corresponding amino acid is attached (by aminoacyl-tRNA synthetases). tRNAs cope with the degeneracy of the genetic code in two manners: having more than one tRNA (with a specific anti-codon) for a particular amino acid; and 'wobble' base-pairing, i.e. permitting non-standard base-pairing at the 3rd anti-codon position. RNAcentral also lists the same sequence under 1 other name. The record is from RNAcentral.
GCCGCAGUCGCAUAACCUGGUAUUGCACCGGUCUCGAAAACCGGGUCCUUCUGGACAUGUCGGUUCAAAUCCGGCCUGCGGCG